UACGGAGGGGGCUAGCGUUGUUCGGAAUUACUGGGCGUAAAGCGCGCGUAGGCGGACCUGCAAGUCGGGGGUGAAAGCCCGAGGCUCAACCUCGGAACUGCCUUCGAUACUGUGGUGCUCGAGUACUGGAGAGGAGAUUGGAAUUUACGGUGUAGCAGUGAAAUGCGUAGAUAUCGUAAGGAAGACCAGUGGCGAAGGCGAAUCUCUGGACAGUUACUGACACUGAGGCACGAAGGCCAGGGGAGCAAACGGG
This 253-nucleotide ribosomal RNA is filed under the name uncultured bacterium. RNAcentral's name for it is "partial 16S ribosomal RNA". It matches the Rfam family "Bacterial small subunit ribosomal RNA", at positions 524 to 776 of the family's 1533-position model. The record is from RNAcentral.